This 734-nucleotide unclassified non-coding RNA is filed under the name Polygala fallax. RNAcentral's name for it is "partial contains small subunit ribosomal RNA, internal transcribed spacer 1, 5.8S ribosomal RNA, internal transcribed spacer 2, and large subunit ribosomal RNA". The stretch from base 312 to 467 matches the Rfam family "5.8S ribosomal RNA". The record is from RNAcentral. Lineage: Eukaryota; Viridiplantae; Streptophyta; Magnoliopsida; Fabales; Polygalaceae.
CAAGGUUUCCGUAGGUGAACCUGCGGAAGGAUCAUUGUCGAAACCUCUACAGAGAAGAGUGACUGUUGGACUCGUAUUGUCUUUGCACAGGUGGGUGGUUGGGUUCACGCGCUGUUCCCGCUCCCACCAUGUCGGGAGGGAUGGUGGUGGAGGUGCGGCAUCACUGAUGUGCGCCGUCUCCCCUCUAAGCUCGGUCCGAACGAACAACCAAACACCGGCGCUAGAAGCGCCAAGGAAAUUAGACCUGCCCGCGCGCGUGCCCUUCGGCCCCGGAGAUGGUGCGCCGUGGACUUUUGUCGUGUAUGCCAUACGACUCUCGGCAACGGAUAUCUCGGCUCUCGCAUCGAUGAAGAACGUAGCGAAAUGCGAUACUUGGUGUGAAUUGCAGAAUCCCGUGAACCAUCGAGUCUUUGAACGCAAGUUGCGCCCGAUGCCUUCUGGUUGAGGGCACGUCUGCCUGGGUGUCACGCACCGUCGCCCUCCGCUCUUUGCCCCAUUCAUGGGUAAGAGUAGGUGGGGCGGAUGAUGGUCUCCCGUGUGCUUUGGCAUGCGGAUGACUGAAAAUGGUUAGACUACGUUGCUGAGUUCCGCGUUGCAUGGUGGAUGAGAAAAUCUCUAAGACCGGACGCGUGCUUAGCCGUCUGCACAUGACCUCGAUGCGCUGCGAUGCAGUUCCUUUCGACGCGACCCCAGGUCAGGCGGGAUCACCCGCUGAGUUUUAAGCAUAUCAAUAA